This 750-nucleotide ribosomal RNA is filed under the name uncultured bacterium. RNAcentral describes it as "bacterial SSU rRNA". It matches the Rfam family "Bacterial small subunit ribosomal RNA", at positions 8 to 796 of the family's 1533-position model. The record is from RNAcentral.
AGAGUUUGAUCCUGGCUCAGGAUCAACGCUGGCGGCGUGCCUAAUGCAUGCAAGUCGCACGAACAUCCUUCGGGGUGUUAGUGGCGAACGGCUGAGGAACACGUGCGUACCUGCCUGUUCGUGGGGAAUACCGGGUGGAAACACCCGCUAAUACCGCGUACGCUCCUUCGGGAGGAAAGCCUUCGGGCGCGGACAGUGGGGCGCGCGGCCCAUCAGGUUGAUGGUGUGGUAACGGCGCACCAUGCCGAUGACGGGUCGCUGGUCUGAGAGGACGGCCAGCCAGACUGGGACUGCGACACGGCCCAGACACCUACGGGUGGCAGCAGCAAGGAAUCUUCCGCAAUGGGCGCAAGCCUGACGGAGCAACGCCGCGUGGAGGACGACGGCUUUCGGGUUGUAAACUCCUUUUCCCAGGGACGAAACGGACGGUACCUGGGGAAUCAGCCCCGGCUAACUCUGUGCCAGCAGCCGCGGUAAGACAGAGGGGGCAAGCGUUGUCCGGAUUUACUGGGCGUACAGCGCGCGCAGGCGGUCGUGUAGGUACCUGGUGACAGUCUCGGGCUCAACUCGAGGGGGUCUGGGUAGACCGCACGGCUGGAGGCAGGGAGAGGGAUGUGGAAUACCCGGUGGAGCGGUGAAAUGCGUAGAGAUCGGGUGGAACACCAGUGGCGAAGGCGGCAUCCUGGCCCUGACCUGACGCUGAGGCGCGAGAGCGUGGGGAGCAAACGGGAUUAGAUACCCUAGUAGUCC